GCUGGCGGCGCGCCUAAUACAUGCAAGUCGAGCGAGAAAUCCGGGGCUUGCCCCGGGUGGACAGCGGCGAACGGGUGAGGAACACGUGAGAAACCUGCCCCGAAGACCGGGAUAACACCGGGAAACCGGUGCUAAUACCGGAUGUCCUCACCGGAUCGCAUGAUCCGGUGAGGAAAUGGAUUCCGCUUCGGGAUGGUCUCGCGGCCUAUCAGCUUGUUGGUGGGGUAACGGCCUACCAAGGCUUCGACGGGUAGCUGGUCUGAGAGGAUGUCCAGCCACACUGGGACUGAGACACGGCCCAGACUCCUACGGGAGGCAGCAGUAGGGAAUCUUGCGCAAUGGGCGAAAGCCUGACGCAGCGACGCCGCGUGCGGGAUGAAGGCCUUCGGGUUGUAAACCGCUUUCAGCAGGGACGAAAUUGACGGUACCUGCAGAAGAAGCUCCGGCCAACUACGUGCCAGCAGCCGCGGUA
Molecule: ribosomal RNA, 472 nt
Filed under: uncultured soil bacterium
Lineage: Bacteria
Description: bacterial SSU rRNA
Rfam family: Bacterial small subunit ribosomal RNA
Source: RNAcentral